This is a long non-coding RNA of Catharus ustulatus (Swainson's thrush), 3810 nucleotides long. RefSeq lists it as uncharacterized. The transcript is spliced from 2 exons. Lineage: Eukaryota; Metazoa; Chordata; Aves; Passeriformes; Turdidae. The record is from RefSeq and is a predicted model, not a curated record.
UAGCCGUAUUAAAAAGCUUUAUUUGAUUGCACUCAUACUCUUAAACUCCCUACACCAUUUCAUAUAGUGGUCAUGUCACUGUAAUUUCUAUUCCAGCAGCAUAUGUGAUAUUCACAGGUUUAUUUUAAAUCAACAGGAAUGUUGCAUUUAAUUCCAGAUCGCUGAUGAAAUUGGUUGGUCAACACUGUUUCUAGUACAUACCACCAUAGGAUGCCAUUAGAAACAUACUCAUUCAGAGAAAAUUUCAUGUUAGCAACAGCUUUGCAAUCUGCCAUUUAGCAAGUUCUAAAUUCAUCUUAUCCAAGCUUUAUUGACACUAAUUGCUCAUUUUUGCAACCUUGCCAUGCAGUUGCUCAUUUUUGAAAAGCUCAGAUUAUCCUAUGCCAGCAAACAGUACACAUUAAACCACAGAAAUCUUUUAUGUCUACAUGACAGUAAUUAUCAGCCAAACACAUAAUUCAUAGUAAAAUCAGGCUGUAUUGACAAGAUUGGUUUCUUAACAGCAUCAUAUUGACUGUCAUGAAAUGGUAUUCACACCUUUUACCUCUAUUUACAUCUUCAUUAAUUAAAUCCUGUUAAUUUUUCUCCUAUUUUCAAGGGACAUACAUCAGGAUAGCAAGGUGAUGGCUCAUAUUAACCCAUUUUUUCCUUUUUACUGUACCAUCACCAAAGAAUUGAAGCAAUUGGCUGUACAUUUUGAUGGAAGUCACCCAGGUCUGCUGUUUUAUAAACAUUCUUCUUAAAGAUAUGAGAAAAUUUUUCUCACUUUUCAGUGGACUGAGAAACAUUUAAAUUAGCAUAGGCUUAUCAGCUGCUUUUCUCCAAAUACAGAAUAUAAGUAACUAUUGUCAAUUGCUUUCAUUUUAUGUCUAUUGAAGUUAUGAAUAGUCCUAUUUUCACUUUGCAAAGGUGGUCUUUUAUUACUUCAUUUGCUUGCACUAUGGCUCAAAAAAUCCUUCUUACGUGAAGCCUGGCAGACCUUUAUUGCUCUAAUUUCCUUACCUUCCUUUGUGUGUUUUCUCAAGUGCUAAGUUCUAACUGGUAGCUGUUGAUUACCCCUCUCUAACACUGUUACAAAGCACUGACCCUGUGGUUUACAUUUACUUGUUCACUUACAGUAGGAGGUUCAAAGCAGAGAACCAUCACACCUAUAUAAUAACAGCAAACCACAGGCCAUGAAAAGAAGAUGAACACCAUUUCCUCUGUCACAAUCUGAAAUAAAAGAACAUCUUAAACUUCUCCUGGUACCCCAAUCUUUGACUUUGCUGGACGCCUAAGCCACGUAGAGCAUCCAACAUGAAUUUGCCUUUAAGAGGACCAAUGGCCUGAGGGCAGGAGGUUUCAGGCUCAAUAUAACACACGUAGGGAACAUUUCUGAGUUGAAACCAUAGUUUCAUGCUCUCUGCAGCCCUGAACUGCUGUCGCUCUACUGAAGACAUUGAAGUCAAUAUUUCCAGGUUUGUUUCUUAAGAAAAUUAAAAUAUUGAAAGAAGCCUGGAGCUUGGAGGCUUGAGCACUUAUUCUUGAGAUUAGGAGUUCAUGUACUGGCUAUUUUGGGUGAUGACUGAGGUGUAGUGAGCUGUGCAACACAGCUAUUAUAUUUAGUAGGAUGGAGGGGCUGGUAAUCAGGAUCACAAUACUAACUCAGGUGGAAAGGAUCAGGAGGUCUCUGGCUCAAGCCCCUGCAUAAAGCAAGGUAAUCUUUGCACCACAUUGCUUGGGGGUUUAUCCAGUUGGGUCUUGAAAAUCCUCCCAGAGAGGAGAUUGACUGCACAGCUUCCUUGGGCAGGAUGCUUUGGUGCCUGACUGUCCUUGCAGUGAAAAACUUCUUAAAUCUCAUGAGAAUCUGACUAUGGUCCACCUAUCGUACCCAAAUACGAACAGCUUGGUUCCAUCUUUUCUGUGAACUCCUUGUAUUCAUUGGGCAUCUGUUAUUAAGUCUUUCCAAAGCCAUUGUACCUGCUGAUGGAAGAAGCCCACCUCUCUCAGCCUCUCCUCAUAAGGCAAGUGCUCCUGCCCCAGUCAUCUUGGAAGUUCUCUGCUGAACUUUCCUUGGGUCAUUGGUGCCUUUCUGGUGUUGCAGGGGGCAAAGCUUGACACAGUGCUCUAGAUGUGUCCAGCUAAUGAGUGCUGAGUAAAAACUUCCUUUAUCUAACAUGUCUUUCAGCCCCAAUCUUUUUCUUCACAUCUUUUCCAGGUCCCUUAAGUGGAUUGCUUGUACCCUGCCUCCAUUUUUCAUGUCAUUACCACUUCAGUACAACAAUUUGUUGCCCUUCUUUUGAAACUCUCACAGCUUUGCCUUGCAGUCUGCCUGAGUAAUCAGUAUUCCAAAAUAAAAGUGAUAGUGAAAAAAGUGAAAAGAUGAGCACAGGUCUGGUUUUGCUAAUGCUGGCUGCUGAGGCAGACUAUACAGGAGAAACCAAAGGAAAAAAAAAGUUCUUCUGUCCCUUCCCAGAACAGAGAGAACAAUAAUGCAUCAGUUUCCUACAGCAGCAGCUGCGGGGGCUUUUCUUUGCUAACAAAAUAUAUCCUCUCUGCCCAGCCUACAGCAAUUUGUAUCAAGGAAAGCCUCUCAGCACUGCCUUGUUAUUUAUUCUGCCUGCACGGCCCCUCGGUGUAGUGGCUGCCACCAAAGGCAGACUCAGGAUGAGGCAUUGCCAGAGAAUGUUAAAAGCAGAAAAAGUCCCAGAAGCCACACAAAUGGAUGCAAAAAUGUACAUUCUCUUCUCACUCCAGAAAAAAAAGCAGCAACUCUUAGUUGUACACAGACUUCACGGAACAUUUAGGCUAAAGAGCCCUGAAAAGUCAGGGGAAUCAUUCCAGAUGUUGUGAAAAUGGAUGUGAUUCUACACACAGAAUAUUGAACAUUUCCUUUUAUGAGGGUUGCCUGCAUCACUCGCUACAGUGGCCAGGCAGACCCAUUCAAGAUCAGACUUUUCUAUUAGGCAAGGAGCAAACCUCAGCCAUAUCUUGGUGAGCUCUGAAGCAUAUAUGCACAGGACUGCCCAGUAUGCCAUAAAAACUGUAGUUAAUACAAGAAUUAGGUAUCUCUGCAAGGAGAGGACAGAAUAUAUAAUAUUCAACAAUUGAAACAAGGCAAAUGUUCAUGGCAUUCCAAACUUCUGUGUGUUCUUGGAAUUUCAAAUUUCCAUACCUUCCUUUCUCCACGUGCUCUGUCACAAUCUUUUCCCACCCCAAGCCUUCUCUGUCCUUCCCAAGUGGUGAUCCCGGAUAUCACUUUUUUUUCCCAGGGUCUCUCAGACUCUUCCUGGUCUCCACCUGUGUGCUCUGUGCCAAGAGCAGCAGAGGAAACAAGGUUCAGAUUCAUCAGGUCUCCUUGGUUCUCAAAUGAUCCAUAAUCUGUGGAGCAGGAAGGAUGGGCUGAAAGCCCUGGUACAGCAAACAUGUCCUGAACCCUACAGAUUGCAGCAUCCCACUUGUGUAAUCUGAAGCUGUCACUGCCACUAAAGCAUCUUCGUUUAGAAGCAAAGAAAUGUUUAACUCUUAGAUUAGAUUGACCAGACCUUCAGCUGCCUUCCAGAUGGGCUUCAAAGUGCUGGCUCUAAUCAAAGUCUGUUGGCAAUUUCUCCAACAUUCAAAAUUGUUGGCUACCCUCUGGCUCUUUCCCUUUUAUUAAUUUGGUGUUUUAGGGAGUGGGGAUUAGGGGGCAUGUUGGACUUUUUUUUUUCUUCUUUAUCCAUUUGGGGUUUUUCCUUUCUCUUAUUUACAGCUGAAGAAGUGUUCUACCUUCUGUAUUGUUUUCUUUCUGUUCAAUGAAAAGGAUUAAAAAAAUGCAAUAUAAAAACAUUA